GAUGAACGCUGGCGGCGUGCCUAAUACAUGCAAGUCGAGCGAACGGACGAGAAGCUUGCUCCUCUGACGUUAGCGGCGGACGGGUGAGUAACACGUGGAUAACCUACCUAUAAGACUGGGAUAACUUCGGGAAACCGGAGCUAAUACCGGAUAAUAUUUUGAACCGCAUGGUUCAAUAGUGAAAGACGGUCUUGCUGUCACUUAUAGAUGGAUCCGCGCUGCAUUAGCUAGUUGGUAAGGUAACGGCUUACCAAGGCAACGAUGCAUAGCCGACCUGAGAGGGUGAUCGGCCACACUGGAACUGAGACACGGUCCAGACUCCUACGGGAGGCAGCAGUAGGGAAUCUUCCGCAAUGGGCGAAAGCCUGACGGAGCAACGCCGCGUGAGUGAUGAAGGUCUUCGGAUCGUAAAACUCUGUUAUUAGGGAAGAACAAAUGUGUAAGUAACUAUGCACAUCUUGACGGUACCUAAUCAGAAAGCCACGGCUAACUACGUG
This 497-nucleotide ribosomal RNA is filed under the name uncultured bacterium. Its description in RNAcentral is "partial 16S ribosomal RNA". It matches the Rfam family "Bacterial small subunit ribosomal RNA", at positions 28 to 507 of the family's 1533-position model. The record is from RNAcentral.